UUUUUUGCUAGUUAAUAAGUCAGAGUUGUCUUCUUGGUCUGGCUUCAAACCUCAGUCCUCAAAUCUCAGCCUCUUGAGUAGUUAGGAUUUUAGGUAUAAGUCACUGCUAACCCAGCUCAUCAGCAUUUUUGAGAAACUGUGCUAAUGACAUUGCCAAAUUGGGGUACUCUGGUAGUAUCAGGCCAUGCACAUGUGCUUUGAGAGAGAUUUUUUUAAAAGUAAUUUACUGUUUUGUUAUUACAGAGUUGAUGAACAGAGGGAUUACAAAUACGAGUCAGGUAAUGAGUCCAUUUCCUUUCAUACAAUGUCUUCUGUUCCCAAUCCUUCCCUCUUUCCCAUUCCCUCCCUCC
Long non-coding RNA from Perognathus longimembris pacificus (Pacific pocket mouse), 350 nucleotides. RefSeq lists it as uncharacterized. The transcript has 3 exons. NCBI's taxonomy places the organism in Eukaryota, Metazoa, Chordata, Mammalia, Rodentia, Heteromyidae. The record is from RefSeq and is a predicted model, not a curated record.